RNAcentral lists this ribosomal RNA (399 nucleotides) under uncultured bacterium. RNAcentral describes it as "bacterial SSU rRNA". It matches the Rfam family "Bacterial small subunit ribosomal RNA", at positions 358 to 774 of the family's 1533-position model. The record is from RNAcentral.
GGAAUUUUGGGCAAUGGGCGAAAGCCUGACCCAGCAACGCCGCGUGAGGGAUGAAGUAUUUCGGUAUGUAAACCUCGAAAGAAUGGGAAGAAUAAAUGACGGUACCAUUUAUAAGCUCCGGCUAACUACGUGCCAGCAGCCGCGGUAAUACGUAGGGAGCAAGCGUUGUUCGGAUUUACUGGGCGUAAAGGGCGCGUAGGCGGCGCGGUAAGUCACUUGUGAAAUCUCUGAGCUUAACUCAGAACGGCCAAGUGAUACUGCUGUGCUAGAGUGCGGAAGAGGCAACCGGAAUUCUUGGUGUAGCGGUGAAAUGCGUAGAUAUCAAGAGGAACACCUGAGGCGAAGGCGGGUUGCUGGGCCGACACUGACGCUGAUGCGCGAAAGCCAGGGGAGCAAACG